Molecule: long non-coding RNA, 249 nt
Organism: Periophthalmus magnuspinnatus
Lineage: Eukaryota; Metazoa; Chordata; Actinopteri; Gobiiformes; Gobiidae
Exons: 4
Source: RefSeq, a predicted model, not a curated record
GUUUUUAGCUGAAAAAGUCACUAUUGGUAGAGCGAGUUGAGCAGGACAAAGAUCACAUUAUGGUCUAUCUGACUGAGCUUUUGAAGAACAUACCCAUCAAUCACGAGUUACUGCUGAUACAAGAACUCCCAGUGCACAACUUGAAGCCCGCUGUGGUUAGACUCUAUGACUACUACCAGACAAGUGACAAAGAUGAGACUGAGUACAUUUUCCCCUGUGUUUGAGUUUGAAGAAUGAAGAUUUAUCAUC